CCUACGGGUGGCAGCAGUGGGGAAUAUUGCACAAUGGGGGAAACCCUGAUGCAGCGACGCCGCGUGAAGGACGAAGUAUUUCGGUACGUAAACUUCUAUCAGCAGGGAAGAAAAUGACGGUACCUGACCAAGAAGCCCCGGCUAACUACGUGCCAGCAGCCGCGGUAAUACGUAGGGGGCAAGCGUUAUCCGGAUUUACUGGGUGUAAAGGGAGCGUAGACGGCCAUGCAAGUCUGAUGUGAAAACCCGGGGCUCAACCCCGGGACUGCAUUGGAAACUGUGCGGCUGGAGUGUCGGAGAGGCAAGUGGAAUUCCUAGUGUAGCGGUGAAAUGCGUAGAUAUUAGGAGGAACACCAGUGGCGAAUGCGGCUUGCUGGACGACGACUGACGUUGAGGCUCGAAAGCGUGGGGAGCAAACAGGAUUAGAUACCCGUGUAGUC
This 440-nucleotide ribosomal RNA is filed under the name uncultured bacterium. RNAcentral describes it as "partial 16S ribosomal RNA". It matches the Rfam family "Bacterial small subunit ribosomal RNA", at positions 338 to 795 of the family's 1533-position model. The record is from RNAcentral.